This 415-nucleotide ribosomal RNA is filed under the name uncultured bacterium. Its description in RNAcentral is "bacterial SSU rRNA". It matches the Rfam family "Bacterial small subunit ribosomal RNA", at positions 355 to 786 of the family's 1533-position model. The record is from RNAcentral.
UGGGGAAUAUUGGGCAAUGGAGGGAACUCUGACCCAGCAACGCCGCGUGAAGGAAGAAGGUUUUCGGAUUGUAAACUUCUGUCGCGAGGGACGAAGAAUGACGGUACCUCGUAAGAAAGCCCCGGCUAACUACGUGCCAGCAGCCGCGGUAAUACGUAGGGGGCAAGCGUUGUCCGGAAUGACUGGGCGUAAAGGGAGUGUAGGCGGCACUAUAAGUUAGAUGUGAAAGCCCGCAGCUUAACUGCGGAACUGCAUCUAAAACUGUAGAGCUUGAGUGCAGGAGAGGUAAGUGGAAUUCCUAGUGUAGCGGUGGAAUGCGUAGAUAUUAGGAGGAGCACCAGAGGCGAAGGCGACUUACUGGACUGUAACUGACGCUGAGGCUCGAGAGCGUGGGGAGCAAACAGGAUUAGAUACC